Molecule: transfer RNA, 61 nt
Filed under: Pelvetia canaliculata
Lineage: Eukaryota; Phaeophyceae; Fucales; Fucaceae
Description: partial tRNA-Lys
Rfam family: tRNA
About the family: Transfer RNA (tRNA) molecules are approximately 80 nucleotides in length. Their secondary structure includes four short double-helical elements and three loops (D, anti-codon, and T loops).
Source: RNAcentral
GGGUGUAUAACUCAGUUGGUUAGAGUGAUGGACUUUUAAUCCGAAGGUCUUGGGUUCAAGU